GAUGAAGAACGCAGCGAAAUGCGAUACGUAAUGUGAAUUGCAGAUUUCAGUGAAUCAUCGAAUCUUUGAACGCACAUUGCGCCCGCCAGUAUUCUGGCGGGCAUGCCUGUUCGAGCGUCAUUACAACCCUCAGGCCCCCGGGCCUGGCGUUGGGGAUCGGCGGAGCCCCCCGUGGGCACACGCCGUCCCCCAAAUGCAGUGGCGGUCCCGCCGCAGCUUCCAUCGCGUAGUAGCUAACACCUCGCGACUGGAGAGCGGCGCGGCCACGCCGUAAAACACCCAACUCUUCUGAAGUUGACCUCGAAUCAGGUAGGAAUACCCGCUGAACUUAAGCAUAUCAAUAAGCGGAGGA
This 352-nucleotide unclassified non-coding RNA is filed under the name soil metagenome. RNAcentral's name for it is "partial contains 5.8S ribosomal RNA, internal transcribed spacer 2, and large subunit ribosomal RNA". The stretch from base 1 to 120 matches the Rfam family "5.8S ribosomal RNA", at positions 35 to 154 of the family's 154-position model. The record is from RNAcentral.